UUAAAUUAUCAAGCAAGGGGCAAUAGUUUAACGGAUUUUCUUUUCAUAAAUUUCGAUCCAGCUGUCGUUGAUUAUCGCGGAAAGUUCUGAAUCAUUACUUCGUAAGUUGGAGUUAAAUGGUAAGCUACGCCAGUUGUUCAAUGCCAGAAAAACCAAUGAGUUGCUACGGCUUCGUAGAUGGUAUUCCGAGAAAACGAUCGUAUCCUUAUAUCAACACUUUUAAUUUUACCUCUGCACCUUCUACCUCUACAUUCAUCCCACCGCCCAGGUUGACGCGGUUAAGUGGUCUUCAGAAAGAAGAAAGAUCAAGACAACACACUGCUACUAGAGAGGAUGGAAAUCUCCCUUUUUCUUUCCUUUACACUUUAUCUGGUGCCAUCACUCUCUGAGAUGAUCAACUCUUUCCACGAUAUCUACGGCGACCCAUCUGUGUACUUCAAGUUAUUGGGAGAAUGAGAGUCUUGUCAGGUUGUUUAGUACAGAAAUCUAGAAUUCGGACUUGUCAUCGUCGAUAGUCAUACUUUGCGUUGUUGACCUCGUCAGGAGGAUCGUGGGAUCUAUUCACAUGUGACAUAUGUAAGGAAGAUUAGUUCUCGCUUGGAAGGUCCUCCAACUGAUCGCUCACAGCCUAUAAGUAGGAGGAAUAACGCGCAACGGCUCUUCUGUCAACUAGAUGAUGUUACUUUUUUGAUACUUUGUGUAAGCACUGUAGCGCUGGGUGUCCAUCCUUCUCC
Molecule: long non-coding RNA, 734 nt
Filed under: Spirodela polyrhiza (greater duckweed)
Lineage: Eukaryota; Viridiplantae; Streptophyta; Magnoliopsida; Alismatales; Araceae
Description: long non-coding RNA (SPOL_LNC000361)
Source: RNAcentral